This 639-nucleotide long non-coding RNA is filed under the name Oryza sativa Indica Group (long-grained rice). Its description in RNAcentral is "lncRNA OsMH63_01G029500". Lineage: Eukaryota; Viridiplantae; Streptophyta; Magnoliopsida; Poales; Poaceae. The record is from RNAcentral.
GACGCCACGGCUGGGACCUCCGCCGUGUCGUCAUGGUCGUCUCGCUCCAACCGGGCGCCAAGCGGCGCGCUCCGUCCCCCGAAUCCGCGCCACCCCGGCCGGAUCUGGACGGGCGGCGGCUGGUGGCGGCUGGUGGCGGCAACCGGUGAUGGUGGCGGCUGGCGGCUGGCGGCGGCGGCUGGUGACGGUGGUGUGGGGACGACCGGCGGACCACGGUGGCUGAUGGCGGCGGCCGUGGUGGCGAUGGUUGGCGACGGCGCCUGUGCGGCAGACGGCGCGUCGACGUCAGCGGCAGCUUAUGAAGACGGGGAAGGAGCUGGGCGGCGGGGAAGGAGGAGACCGGGAGCAGGCGUGGCGUGGGCGAUGGUUGCGUGUGGCAGCGUUGCACGGCUCGGGAGGGCUCCAGCGAGCUCGGCGGCUGCGCGGAGUCGAGACGGGCUCCGGCAGGGUUGCUCGCUGGCGGCGAGCCUACUACUCGCGAUGUGUGGAUGUGGAUGUGCUGGCGUGUUUGGUUACGUCGAGUCGGAGCUGCUCGCUGAUGGGGUGCGGCGAUGCUUGGCAACGAUGACAAGUUGCAGUCUCUUCCAAGGAGUUGGUGCUGGCCGUGUGAAGGAAGUGGCUCGUUGGUGGCUUGGCUGA